Triticum dicoccoides is the source of this 1357-nucleotide long non-coding RNA. RefSeq lists it as uncharacterized. The record is from RefSeq and is a predicted model, not a curated record. The transcript is spliced from 3 exons. Lineage: Eukaryota; Viridiplantae; Streptophyta; Magnoliopsida; Poales; Poaceae.
AAACGCUAGCCCAUUCCCGUCCGCAUCCCUGCCGCCGCCGCCGCCCUCCCAAUUCCCUCUGCUCCUGCUGCUUCCCUCCACCUCUCCCUCCUCCACGCCGUUAGGGGCGCCCUUCAAGCCCCACCUCGUCGGUUCCCCACCCCGAGCUCCUUCUCCCCCAUCCCGGGCGAGCACUGGAUAGGCAGAGGGAGUGCCUUGGUCGAGGGACAACGAGGCUCGCCGGCUGGGCGACUUCGAGCGCUGGAGGCUAGACAGGCACAGGCAGGAGCGGAUCCAUGUAGGGGCAUGGGUGCCGUCGCGCCAUCGAAGGCCUCCACGACGCCCUCUACCAGGUCACCUCUCUCCAAGAUCUCCUUUUUACCCAUGUUUUUACCACUCUCCAAGCUCGCACUAUUGCUCCGGAAAAUUCCCUUUGGAAUUGGGGAUGAAGGAAUCGAUUUCGAUUGAUUGGCGCCCCGCAGACGACGGGCGUGGGACGCCGCGGGAGGCGUGCCGCGUUCGAGAGCCACCGUGGAUUAUCUUCGAGGUGUCAGGCGACAUUCGCCUCGAGACCUACCUCCGGGUCUCUUCCCACAUGACCAUUGACGGGCGCGGGUAGCGGGUCAGGCUCACCGGCAAGGUGCCGAUAUAUUUCUUAAUCUGCUCGUUAUGGUUCUCCAAAUAUUUUCAGAGAAUAAAACUGGCUGAAGAUGGUGCGUGCAGCUUGCCUCUGAACUCGUAAUGUCCGGCCAUUGCAUCUGGGAGGAGCUCCUCUUCAGGAAGAAUGCCGGGACGUACGACACUGCUGCGACUGCCGUUCUCGUCCGCGUUUUGACUACACUUGCAGGCAACUGCAAAGGCAAAAUCUACAUGUGAGAAGUGCAGAUGAGCCCCGCUGUGCUAAUUACCUUCAACUAAGCAAGUUCAGCUAUUCCCAGUUUAUCCUCUGCAUGUGGUGGUGGUGCUAGCUACUAAUUAACUUCUAUGUUCCUGCAUGUACACUCUCAUAAUUUCCAGUAUUCUGAAUUGGCUGCUGAAGUACAUAAGUGAAGUCUAUUGGUGAAGGAGAUGUGAAGAAUGAUAUAGAGCAAGUAGAUAAAAACCGCAGUUGUUGGGCCCAAGGUAGGCUCCUUCACUCAGAGUAUAUGUUGGACGGUUUCUUGUUCGACAUCAAUUUCUGGUUGGAGAUUGAACUGCAUUCCAGUUUGAUUAUGUGAUUACAUCAAAUUUGUGCAUAUUAACUGAAAUGUGUAAUGCUACAAAGUAGAUAGGUUUUCCUAGCAUUUUACCACGGGGCGUCUCUUUUCUUUGUCUUCUGCCCCUUGUCUUGUACAUUCUCCAUUUAAUGACAUAUGGAUGGCUAACCAACCAUUUUUGU